Molecule: ribosomal RNA, 254 nt
Filed under: uncultured bacterium
Lineage: Bacteria
Description: partial 16S ribosomal RNA
Rfam family: Bacterial small subunit ribosomal RNA
Source: RNAcentral
UACGUAGGGUGCAAGCGUUAAUCGGAAUUACUGGGCGUAAAGCGUGCGCAGGCGGUUAUGUAAGACAGUUGUGAAAUCCCCGGGCUCAACCUGGGAAUUGCGAUGAAGACUGCAAGGCUUGAAUCUGGCAGAGGGGGGUAGAAUUCCACGUGUAGCAGUGAAAUGCGUAGAGAUGUGGAGGAACACCGAUGGCGAAGGCAGCCCCCCUGGGUCAAGAUUGACGCUCAUGCACGAAAGCGUGGGGAGCAAACAGG